GACGAACGCGGCGGCGUGCUUAACACAUGCAAGUCGAACGAAGAGCGAUGGAAGCUUGCUUCUAUCAAUCUUAGUGGCGAACGGGUGAGUAACGCGUAAUCAACCUGCCCUUCAGAGGGGGACAACAGUUGGAAACGACUGCUAAUACCGCAUACGGUCUAAUCUCGGCAUCGAGGAUAGAUGAAAGGUGGCCUCUACAUGUAAGCUAUCACUGAAGGAGGGGAUUGCGUCUGAUUAGCUAGUUGGAGGGGUAACGGCCUACCAAGGCGAUGAUCAGUAGCCGGUCUGAGAGGAUGAACGGCCACAUUGGGACUGAGACACGGCCCAGACUCCUACGGGAGGCAGCAGUGGGGAAUCUUCCGCAAUGGACGAAAGUCUGACGGAGCAACGCCGCGUGAGUGAUGACGGCCUUCGGGUUGUAAAGCUCUGUUAAUCGGGACGAAAGGCCUUCUUGCGAAUAGUUAGAAGGAUUGACGGUCCGGAAUAGAAGCC
RNAcentral lists this ribosomal RNA (492 nucleotides) under Veillonella parvula. Its description in RNAcentral is "bacterial SSU rRNA". It matches the Rfam family "Bacterial small subunit ribosomal RNA", at positions 28 to 492 of the family's 1533-position model. Lineage: Bacteria; Bacillati; Bacillota; Negativicutes; Veillonellales; Veillonellaceae. The record is from RNAcentral.